Molecule: unclassified non-coding RNA, 371 nt
Filed under: uncultured Ophiostomataceae
Lineage: Eukaryota; Fungi; Ascomycota; Sordariomycetes; Ophiostomatales
Description: sequence contains ITS1
Rfam family: 5.8S ribosomal RNA (bases 1-105)
Source: RNAcentral
GAAGUGCGAUAAGCAAUGCGAAUUGCAGAAUUCCGCGAGUCAUCAGAUCUUUGAACGCAAAUGGCGCCGGAGGGAUAUCCUUCUGGCAUGUCUGUUUCAGUGUCUGAGAGGUUUCACCAACACCUUAAUGUGAUUGACUUAGAGCAGUACGGCAUGCCGCACUAUUCGAGGUCUCUCAUGAAAGAUGCGCGAGUGGAUCUUUCGGUCCAAUGAAGUGGUCACAUCACUCGUAUGUGAUUUCAUUGGAAGCACCGAAUUAUCCGCCAUACUCGCGGUUACAUAAACAUAAACGUAGUUUUUUAGCUGUGUUUCUGUUUGUUCUCUCUCUACACCCUGCAUCUGAGACAGGCAAGAUCACCCGCUGAACUUAA